AAAAUGCGAUAAGUAAUGUGAAUUGCAGAAUUCAGUGAAUCAUCGAAUCUUUGAACGCACCUUGCGCUCCUUGGUAUUCCUUGGAGCAUGCCUGUUUGAGUAUCAUGAAAUCUUCAAAGUAAAUCUUUUGUUAACUCAAUUGGUUUCUACUUUGGUAUUGGAGGUCUUUGCAGCUUCACACCUGCUCCUCUUUGUUCAUUAGCUGGAUCUCAGUGUUAUGCUUGGUUCCACUCGGCGUGAUAAGUUAUCUAUCGCUGAGGACACUGUAAAAGGUGGCCAAGGUAAAUGCAGAUGAACCGCUGCUAAUAGUCCAUUGACUUGGACAAUACUUUUAUGAUCUGAUCUCAAAUCAGGUAGGACUACCCGCUGAACUUAAGC
RNAcentral lists this unclassified non-coding RNA (378 nucleotides) under plant metagenome. RNAcentral's name for it is "partial contains 5.8S ribosomal RNA, internal transcribed spacer 2, and large subunit ribosomal RNA". The stretch from base 1 to 105 matches the Rfam family "5.8S ribosomal RNA", at positions 50 to 154 of the family's 154-position model. The record is from RNAcentral.